Molecule: ribosomal RNA, 254 nt
Filed under: uncultured bacterium
Lineage: Bacteria
Description: partial 16S ribosomal RNA
Rfam family: Bacterial small subunit ribosomal RNA
Source: RNAcentral
UACGGGGGGGGCAAGCGUUGUUCGGAAUUACUGGGCGUAAAGGGCUCGUAGGCGGCCAACUAAGUCAGACGUGAAAUCCCUCGGCUUAACCGGGGAACUGCGUCUGAUACUGGGUGGCUUGAGUUUGGGAGAGGGAUGCGGAAUUCCAGGUGUAGCGGUGAAAUGCGUAGAUAUCUGGAGGAACACCGGUGGCGAAGGCGGCAUCCUGGACCAACACUGACGCUGAGUGAGCGAAAGCCAGGGGAGCAAGCGGG